AACGCUGGCGGCGUGCUUAACACAUGCAAGUCGAACGGAAAGGCCCUUCGGGGUACUCGAGUGGCGAACGGGUGAGUAACACGUGGGUGAUCUGCCCUGCACUCUGGGAUAAGCCUGGGAAACUGGGUCUAAUACCGGAUAGGACCACACACUUCAUGGUGAGUGGUGCAAAGCUUUUGCGGUGUGGGAUGAGCCCGCGGCCUAUCAGCUUGUUGGUGGGGUAAUGGCCCACCAAGGCGACGACGGGUAGCCGGCCUGAGAGGGUGACCGGCCACACUGGGACUGAGAUACGGCCCAGACUCCUACGGGAGGCAGCAGUGGGGAAUAUUGCACAAUGGGCGCAAGCCUGAUGCAGCGACGCCGCGUGAGGGAUGACGGCCUUCGGGUUGUAAACCUCUUUCAGUAGGGACGAAGCGAAAGUGACGGUACCUACAGAAGAAGGACCGGCCAACUACGUGCCAGCAGCCGCGGUAAUACGUAGGGUCCGAGCGUUGUCCGGAAUUACUGGGCGUAAAGAGCUCGUAGGUGGUUUGUCGCGUUGUUCGUGAAAACUCACAGCUUAACUGUGGGCGUGCGGGCGAUACGGGCAGACUAGAGUACUGCAGGGGAGACUGGAAUUCCUGGUGUAGCGGUGGAAUGCGCAGAUAUCAGGAGGAACACCGGUGGCGAAGGCGGGUCUCUGGGCAGUAACUGACGCUGAGGAGCGAAAGCGUGGGUAGCGAACAGGAUUAGAUACCCUGGUAGUCCACGCCGUAAACGGUGGGUACUAGGUGUGGGUUUCCUUCCUUGGGAUCCGUGCCGUAGCUAACGCAUUAAGUACCCCGCCUGGGGAGUACGGUCGCAAGACUAAAACUCAAAGGAAUUGACGGGGGCCCGCACAAGCGGCGGAGCAUGUGGAUUAAUUCGAUGCAACGCGAAGAACCUUACCUGGGUUUGACAUGCACAGGACGUACCUAGAGAUAGGUAUUCCCUUGUGGCCUGUGUGCAGGUGGUGCAUGGCUGUCGUCAGCUCGUGUCGUGAGAUGUUGGGUUAAGUCCCGCAACGAGCGCAACCCUUGUCCUAUGUUGCCAGCGGGUAAUGCCGGGGACUCGUAGGAGACUGCCGGGGUCAACUCGGAGGAAGGUGGGGAUGACGUCAAGUCAUCAUGCCCCUUAUGUCCAGGGCUUCACACAUGCUACAAUGGCCAGUACAGAGGGCUGCGAAGCCGCAAGGUGGAGCGAAUCCCUUAAAGCUGGUCUCAGUUCGGAUUGGGGUCUGCAACUCGACCCCAUGAAGUCGGAGUCGCUAGUAAUCGCAGAUCAGCAACGCUGCGGUGAAUACGUUCCCGGGCCUUGUACACACCGCCCGUCACGUCAUGAAAGUCGGUAACACCCGAAGCCAGUGGCCUAACCUUUUGGAGGGAGCUGUCGAAGGUGGGAUCGGCGAUUGGGACGAA
RNAcentral lists this ribosomal RNA (1436 nucleotides) under uncultured bacterium. RNAcentral describes it as "bacterial SSU rRNA". It matches the Rfam family "Bacterial small subunit ribosomal RNA". The record is from RNAcentral.